Sapajus apella (tufted capuchin) is the source of this 108-nucleotide long non-coding RNA. RefSeq lists it as uncharacterized. The record is from RefSeq and is a predicted model, not a curated record. The transcript has 5 exons. Lineage: Eukaryota; Metazoa; Chordata; Mammalia; Primates; Cebidae.
CUCACCAAAGUUCUAGUGCCGUGGUAUAAUCACAGAUCACUGGAACCUUGAACUUCUGGGCUCAAGCGAUCCUCCUGCCUUAGCCUCCCAAAUAGCUGGGACUACAGG